Long non-coding RNA from Magallana angulata, 515 nucleotides. RefSeq lists it as uncharacterized. The record is from RefSeq and is a predicted model, not a curated record. Lineage: Eukaryota; Metazoa; Mollusca; Bivalvia; Ostreida; Ostreidae. The transcript has 3 exons.
AUGCCAGUACCUGGUAUAGUAUAUAUAGGUAUGUAUGUCGUUGAGUUACGAUAGGUUCGACGCAACAUUACAGAUGAGCCCGGGAUAAGAUAAGAAUUGUACAUGAUUUGUAAAUACAGGAAUAGUUCCAGUUUUCUACACAAUAGUUUCCAGUAUGAAGUCUGCUAGCGUUGUGGUUUUAGUUUUGAUGACGUCAGUCUGUGCCUCUCCAAUACAGCGAAGAGAGCUUGAGGAAAUGGCAACACACACCACCGUGAAACCCGAUUACAACGCCAUAUUGCAUCAGCUAGGGGAAUACUUCAAAGGUAGAGACCUCCACACGAGGCAGUUGGUACCCGUUGCCGGGGACUCCGACGUUGCUAGGGACGACAUUCUUCACGAGUUGGGCGAGUACUGGAAGGGGCGCAUAGCGGCACUUAGCGCACUCUUGUCACAACAUAGCACCCAACAACACAUUAACUUGUUCUCCCAGUUACCGAAUAAUUUGAAAUAAACAGUUUGAUCAAAUUUUUAAA